Molecule: ribosomal RNA, 403 nt
Filed under: Fusobacteriota bacterium
Lineage: Bacteria; Fusobacteriati; Fusobacteriota
Description: Fusobacteria bacterium partial 16S ribosomal RNA
Rfam family: Bacterial small subunit ribosomal RNA
Source: RNAcentral
UGGGGAAUAUUGCACAAUGGAGGGAACUCUGAUGCAGCGACGCCGCGUGAACGAAGAAGGCUUUCGAGUCGUAAAGUUCUUUUAUAUGGGAAGAUAAUGACGGUACCAUAAGAAAAAGCCCCGGCUAACUACGUGCCAGCAGCCGCGGUAAUACGUAGGGGGCUAGCGUUGUCCGGAAUCACUGGGCGCAAAGGGUUCGCAGGCGGAAAUGCAAGUCAGGUGUAAAAGGCAGUAGCUUAACUACUGUAAGCAUUUGAAACUGCAUAUCUUGAGAAGAGUAGAGGUAAGUGGAAUUUUUAGUGUAGCGGUGAAAUGCGUAGAUAUUAAAAAGAAUACCGGUGGCGAAGGCGACUUACUGGGCUCAUUCUGACGCUGAGGAACGAAAGCGUGGGUAGCAAACAGG